RNAcentral lists this ribosomal RNA (287 nucleotides) under uncultured bacterium. RNAcentral's name for it is "partial 16S ribosomal RNA". It matches the Rfam family "Bacterial small subunit ribosomal RNA", at positions 333 to 636 of the family's 1533-position model. The record is from RNAcentral.
GUGGUCCUACGGGGCGCAGCAAUGGGGAAUAUUGCGCAAUGGGGGAAACCCUGACGCAGCAACGCCGCGUGAGUGAGGAAGUAUCUCGGUAUGUAAAGCUCUAUCAGCGGGGAAGAAGGAAGACGGUACCCGACUAAGAAGCCCCGGCUAACUACGUGCCAGCAGCCGCGGUAAUACGUAGGGGGCGAGCGUUAUCCGGAUUUACUGGGUGUAAAGGGAGCGUAGACGGCGUCGCAGGUCUGAAGUGAACGCCCGUGGCUCAACCGCGGAACGGCUUUGGAAACUGU